AACGUAGGUUCCGAGCGUUAUCCGGAUUUACUGGGCGUAAAGCGCGUUCAGGCGGUUUGGCAAGUCGGGCAUGAAAUCCCUCGGCUCAACCGGGAGAGGUUGUCCGAUACUGCUGGACUUGAGGGCAGUAGAGGGUGGUGGAAUUCCGGGUGUAGUGGUGAAAUGCGUAGAUAUCCGGAGGAACACCAGUGGCGAAAGCGGCCACCUGGACUGCGCCUGACGCUGACACGCGAAAGCUAGGGGAGCGAACGGG
RNAcentral lists this ribosomal RNA (253 nucleotides) under uncultured bacterium. RNAcentral describes it as "partial 16S ribosomal RNA". It matches the Rfam family "Bacterial small subunit ribosomal RNA", at positions 524 to 776 of the family's 1533-position model. The record is from RNAcentral.